RNAcentral lists this ribosomal RNA (535 nucleotides) under uncultured bacterium. RNAcentral describes it as "partial 16S ribosomal RNA". It matches the Rfam family "Bacterial small subunit ribosomal RNA", at positions 355 to 899 of the family's 1533-position model. The record is from RNAcentral.
UGGGGAAUAUUGCACAAUGGGCGAAAGCCUGAUGCAGCGACGCCGCGUGCGGGAUGAAGGCCUUCGGGUUGUAAACCGCUUUUAAUUGGGAGCAAGCGAGAGUGAGUGUACCUUUUGAAUAAGCACCGGCUAACUACGUGCCAGCAGCCGCGGUAAUACGUAGGGUGCAAGCGUUAUCCGGAAUUAUUGGGCGUAAAGAGCUCGUAGGCGGUUUGUCACGCCUGGUGUGAAAGUCCAUCGCUUAACGGUGGAUCUGCGCCGGGUACGGGCAGGCUAGAGUGCAGUAGGGGAGAUUGGAAUUCCCGGUGUAACGGUGGAAUGUGUAGAUAUCGGGAAGAACACCAAUGGCGAAGGCAGAUCUCUGGGCUGUUACUGACGCUGAGGAGCGAAAGCAUGGGGAGCGAACAGGAUUAGAUACCCUGGUAGUCCAUGCCGUAAAACGGUGGAUGCUGGAUGUGGGACCCUUCCACGGGUUCCGUGUCGGAGCUAACGCGUUAAGCAUCCCGCCUGGGGGAGUACGGUCGCAAGGCUAAAA